RNAcentral lists this long non-coding RNA (267 nucleotides) under Vitis vinifera (wine grape). RNAcentral's name for it is "long non-coding RNA (VVIN_LNC006165)". The record is from RNAcentral. Lineage: Eukaryota; Viridiplantae; Streptophyta; Magnoliopsida; Vitales; Vitaceae.
GCGUCUAUUUGGUUAAGAGGAGUCUCUACAUAUAUAUCGCCAGGAACAUUCUCCCCUAUCCGAUGUGGGACAUCACAAAUACCCCCCCAUGCAGACACAACGUCUUCGUUGUGUCCCAUGGGAUUGCGGGGCCAGACAAAGCCAAACAAACCCCCACACCGGGGUCGGGGAUCGGCUCUGAUACCAUUUGUAACGACCCGCACCCAACCAUGUAGAUAUUGUCCGCUUUGGGUCCAAGGGGGCCCUCACGGCUUUAAAACGCGUCUA